UACGUAGGUGGCAAGCGUUGUCCGGAUUUACUGGGCGUAAAGAGCGCGCAGGCGGUCUGAUAAGUCGAAUGUGAAAGCCCCCGGCUCAACUGGGGAGGGUCAUUCGAUACUGUUCGACUCGAAGGCAGGAGAGGGAAGUGGAGUUCCCGGUGUAGUGGUGAAAUGCGUAGAUAUCGGGAGGAACACCAGUGGCGAAGGCGACUUCCUGGCCUGUUCUUGACGCUGAGGCGCGAAAGCUAGGGGAGCAAACGGG
RNAcentral lists this ribosomal RNA (253 nucleotides) under uncultured bacterium. Its description in RNAcentral is "partial 16S ribosomal RNA". It matches the Rfam family "Bacterial small subunit ribosomal RNA", at positions 524 to 776 of the family's 1533-position model. The record is from RNAcentral.